This 451-nucleotide ribosomal RNA is filed under the name uncultured organism. RNAcentral's name for it is "partial 16S ribosomal RNA". It matches the Rfam family "Bacterial small subunit ribosomal RNA", at positions 330 to 797 of the family's 1533-position model. The record is from RNAcentral.
CGUACACUCCUGCGGGAGGCAGCAGUGGGGAAUAUUGGACAAUGGGGGCAACCCUGAUCCAGCCAUGCCGCGUGAGUGAUGAAGGCCCUAGGGUUGUAAAGCUCUUUUGUGCGGGAAGAUAAUGACGGUACCGCAAGAAUAAGCCCCGGCUAACUUCGUGCCAGCAGCCGCGGUAAUACGAAGGGGGCUAGCGUUGCUCGGAAUCACUGGGCGUAAAGGGUGCGUAGGCGGGUCUUUAAGUCAGGGGUGAAAUCCUGGAGCUCAACUCCAGAACUGCCUUUGAUACUGAGGAUCUUGAGUCCGGAAGAGGUGAGUGGAACUGCGAGUGUAGAGGUGAAAUUCGUAGAUAUUCGCAAGAACACCAGUGGCGAAGGCGGCUCACUGGUCCGGUACUGACGCUGAGGCACGAAAGCGUGGGGAGCAAACAGGAUUAGAUACCCCUGUAGUCCCA